Molecule: long non-coding RNA, 380 nt
Organism: Daphnia pulex (common water flea)
Lineage: Eukaryota; Metazoa; Arthropoda; Branchiopoda; Diplostraca; Daphniidae
Exons: 2
Source: RefSeq, a predicted model, not a curated record
GUUGUCGACGAUGGACGCAUAUAGGUCUUAAAAGUAAAGUUGCAUAUUAGUCUUGAAAGGUUUCUUCAUAAGGUUUCAGCAUCAUUCUCACUCCCGACUUCAGGCAACUACUAUAAAAUGAUUUCAGAAAAUUUGGCUUGUUGAAAGUUUGAAAGCCUGAAAAAAAUGGUGUGUGACAGGACCUAUUGGGGAAGUGUCUCCUGUGCUAAACUGCUGUGCCAAUCUCAAGAGUUGCUGUUUUUGCAAUUCUAAUUUGAGUCUGCCCAAGCUGCUGUGUGAAACUCGAGAGUUGCCAUCACUAUCAAUAUGAGAUGCUUCCUGUCUUGAUUCAAAAUUAGUAGUAAUAAGAGUUGGGACAAAUAAAACACUAAUUAUUAUUA